Molecule: non-coding RNA, 943 nt
Organism: Bemisia tabaci
Lineage: Eukaryota; Metazoa; Arthropoda; Insecta; Hemiptera; Aleyrodidae
Source: RefSeq, a predicted model, not a curated record
AAAAUGGAAAAGCUUGUUAACACACUGGAGAAACUUGAGAUUUGCCCAGUCACGAGUUUUCAUUAAUAUUAGAACAAGCUUUCACUUUGGUAAUGGAGCGAAAAACAAGAAACGUAGGUUAUUAAUUCUAAAAGUCUAGGAAGGUCGAACUAUUUGCAGGUUAUUUCAAGCACUCCGAAGCUCUGACAAUCUGGUAUGUGGAUCCAUCAUUCAUUACUGUAAAUAAAGAUUAUGUGCAUACCAGCGAGAACACUAGACACAUUGUUCCAAACGGGAGCUGAAAAAGCUAAAGAUAACAGAUAAUCAUUUAUGGAGUGUUGAAGUGCACUUUGAUCUUAAGCCAUGGCAUAAUACUUAUUGGUCACGCAUGGAUGAGCAUCAGUGUCAAAUUGCUGCGAUGAAGGUCUCUUUCAUGUUAAGCCAGAAUUUCUAAGAAACAAGGUAGAAGUGAUUCGUAUGAUUCAAUUUGGAAAGUAUUCAAGAAAAUGAAACUUGAGCUUCUGGAAUCCAUUUUACAACUUGAUAGCAGCAUUUCUGAUGUAGAAUAAAAGAGUGUCUAAGGAAUUGGAGGAGUGUCAACUGAAAUUCUGUUUUGAUCCCACCACAAAAGUUGGUAUUCAGAAUUUUUAAGAAACAAGGUAGAAGUGAUUCGUAUGAUUCAAUUUGGAGAGUAUUCAAGAAAAUGAAACAUGAGCUUCUGGAAUCCAUUUUACAACUUGUUAGCAGCAUUUCUGAUGUAGAAUAAAAGAGUGUCUAAGGAAUAGGAGGAGUGUCAACUGAAAUCCUGUUUUGAUCCCACCACAAGAGGAGAUCCGGAGUGCAGAGCUCUUCCAGAUUCAUUUUUAUAAUAUACAAUUAAUUUUAAUUUUAAAUAAUAUUAAUUUUUAAAUUAAUUAAUAUAAACAAUAUAAUUAAUACAGGGUGGCCCAGACUUACCGUACCA